AGUGAACGCUGGCGGUAGGCCUAACACAUGCAAGUCGAACGGCAGCACAGUAAGAGCUUGCUCUUACGGGUGGCGAGUGGCGGACGGGUGAGGAAUACAUCGGAAUCUACUUUUUCGUGGGGGAUAACGUAGGGAAACUUACGCUAAUACCGCAUACGACCUACGGGUGAAAGCAGGGGAUCUUCGGACCUUGCGCGAUUGAAUGAGCCGAUGUCGGAUUAGCUAGUUGGCGGGGUAAAGGCCCACCAAGGCGCCGAUCCGUAGCUGGUCUGAGAGGAUGAUCAGCCACACUGGAACUGAGACACGGUCCAGACUCCUACGGGAGGCAGCAGUGGGGAAUAUUGGACAAUGGUCGCAAGCCUGAUCCAGCCAUACCGCGUGGGUGAAGAAGGCCUUCGGGUUGUAAAGCCCUUUUGUUGGGAAAGAAAAGCAGCAGGUUAAUACCCCGCUGUUCUGACGGUACCCAAAGAAUAAGCACCGGCUAACUUCGUG
This 492-nucleotide ribosomal RNA is filed under the name uncultured bacterium. RNAcentral's name for it is "partial 16S ribosomal RNA". It matches the Rfam family "Bacterial small subunit ribosomal RNA", at positions 29 to 507 of the family's 1533-position model. The record is from RNAcentral.